This 185-nucleotide ribosomal RNA is filed under the name uncultured bacterium. RNAcentral describes it as "partial 16S ribosomal RNA". It matches the Rfam family "Bacterial small subunit ribosomal RNA", at positions 137 to 334 of the family's 1533-position model. The record is from RNAcentral.
GGGGGAGUAACGAUCGGGAAACUGGUGCUAAUACCGCAUGAUACCUGAGGGUCAAAGGCGCAAGUCGCCUGUGGAGGAGCCCUGCGUUCGAUUAGCUUGUUGGUGGGGUAAAGGCCUACCAAGGCGAUGAUCGAUAGCUGGUCUGAGAGGAUGAUCAGCCACACUGGGACUGAGACACGGCCCAG